GUUGGAAACACAUUUUCUGAGAAUCUGCAAGGGGACAUUUUGGAGCCCAUUGAGGCCUGUGGGGAAAAAUAUGGUAUACCUAGGUUUGAAAUACUCUUUUUAAAGGAUCUAUGAAGAAAUAUUUUGAAGUUAAUUGAGGCCCAUGGAAAAAAUAAACGAAUAUCUUCAGAUUGGAAAAACUCUUUUUGGAGAAUUUGUGAAGGGACUUUUUGGAGUCCACUGAGCUGUUGAAUAACUGAAUAUCCCCAGAAAAACAGUGGAAUCUAUCUGUGAAACUGCUUUGUGAUGUGUGGAUUCAUCUCACAGAGUUAAUCCUUUCGUUUGAUUCCGCACGUUUGGAGCACUCCUUUUGGACAAUCUGGAACAAUAUAUUUUGGUCCAUUGAAGCCAAUGAAGGAAAAAAAGGAGUAUCCCUAGGCAAAACCUAAAAAGAAGCUAUCUGUGAAAAUGCUUUGUGAUGUUUGGAUUCAUGUCCCAGAGUUAAACUUUUCUUUUUAUUCAGCAGGUUGGAAACACUCUUUUUGAACAAUCUGCAAAGGGAAACUGGGGAGGCCAUGGAAACCCAUAAGGAAAAACAGAAUAUUACCAGAUAAAAAUCAAUAAAAACUAUCUGUGAAACUGCUUUA
Molecule: long non-coding RNA, 626 nt
Organism: Homo sapiens (human)
Lineage: Eukaryota; Metazoa; Chordata; Mammalia; Primates; Hominidae
Exons: 3
Source: RefSeq, a predicted model, not a curated record